GACGAACGCUUGCGGCGUGCUUAACACAUUCAAGUCGAACGGAAAGGCCCUGCUUUUGUGGGGUGCUCGAGUGGCGAACGGGUGAGUAACACGUGAGUAACCUGCCCUUGACUUUGGGAUAACUUCAGGAAACUGGGGCUAAUACCGGAUAGGAGCUCCUGCUGCAUGGUGGGGGUUGGAAAGUUUCGGCGGUUGGGGAUGGACUCGCGGCUUAUCAGCUUGUUGGUGGGGUAGUGGCUUACCAAGGCUUUGACGGGUAGCCGGCCUGAGAGGGUGACCGGCCACAUUGGGACUGAGAUACGGCCCAGACUCCUACGGGAGGCAGCAGUGGGGAAUAUUGCACAAUGGGCGGAAGCCUGAUGCAGCAACGCCGCGUGCGGGAUGACGGCCUUCGGGUUGUAAACCGCUUUCGCCUGUGACGAAGCGUGAGUGACGGUAAUGGGUAAAGAAGCACCGGCUAACUACGUG
This 468-nucleotide ribosomal RNA is filed under the name uncultured bacterium. RNAcentral describes it as "partial 16S ribosomal RNA". It matches the Rfam family "Bacterial small subunit ribosomal RNA", at positions 28 to 507 of the family's 1533-position model. The record is from RNAcentral.